AGUAACGCGUGGGUAACCUGCCUUGUACUGGGGGACAACAGUUAGAAAUGACUGCUAAUACCGCAUAAGCGCACAGUAUCGCAUGAUACAGUGUGAAAAACUCCGGUGGUACAAGAUGGACCCGCGUCUGAUUAGCUAGUUGGUGAGGUAACGGCCCACCAAGGCAACGAUCAGUAGCCGACCUGAGAGGGUGACCGGCCACAUUGGGACUGAGACACGGCCCAG
This 225-nucleotide ribosomal RNA is filed under the name uncultured bacterium. RNAcentral describes it as "partial 16S ribosomal RNA". It matches the Rfam family "Bacterial small subunit ribosomal RNA", at positions 109 to 334 of the family's 1533-position model. The record is from RNAcentral.